Molecule: ribosomal RNA, 625 nt
Filed under: uncultured actinomycete
Lineage: Bacteria; Bacillati; Actinomycetota; Actinomycetes; Actinomycetales
Description: bacterial SSU rRNA
Rfam family: Bacterial small subunit ribosomal RNA
Source: RNAcentral
GUGGGGUAAUGGCCUACCAAGGCAUUGACGGGUAGCUGACGUGAGAGCGUGAUCAGCCACAUUGGGACUGAGACGCGGCCCAGACUCCUACGGGAGGCAGCAGUGGGGAAUAUUGCGCAAUGAGCGAAAGCUUGACGCAGCGACGCCGCGUGGGGGAGGAAGGCCUUAGGGUCGUAAACCCCUGUCAGAUGGGACGAACCGUAGAUCGGCUAAUAUCUGAUCUGCCUGACGGUACCAUCAGAGGAAGCUCCGGCUAACUCCGUGCCAGCAGCCGCGGUAAUACGGAGGGAGCAAGCGUUGUUCGGAAUUACUGGGCGUAAAGGGCGCGUAGGCGGCCUAGUAAGUCGAGUGUGAAAUGCCGGGGCUCAACUCCGCGCACUGCAUUCGAUACUGCCUGUCUGGAGAAAGGUAGAGGCGAGCGGAAUUCCCGGUGUAGCGGUGGAAUGCGUAGAUAUCGGGAAGAACACCUGUGGCGAAGGCGGCUCGCUGGGCCUUAUCUGACGCUGAAGCGCGAAAGCGUGGGGAGCAAACAGGAUUAGAUACCCUGGUAGUCCACGCCGUAAACGCUGGGUACUAGGUGUCGGGAGGCUUGGCCCUCUCGGUGUCAACGCUAACGCAUUAAGUA